Rhopalosiphum padi (bird cherry-oat aphid) is the source of this 351-nucleotide long non-coding RNA. RefSeq lists it as uncharacterized. Lineage: Eukaryota; Metazoa; Arthropoda; Insecta; Hemiptera; Aphididae. The record is from RefSeq and is a predicted model, not a curated record. The transcript is spliced from 3 exons.
ACGAAAGUGUAUAAAAGAGCAACCGAGAUCCUGAUCUCGGCAUAACACAUCUUUUUGUGCAACUACAUUCUUUGUUUUCGUUUUAAUCCUCAAAAACCAACUAACAAAUCAAAAAUGGGCGCUGAAAAAGUAACCAUGAACAUCGUUGUCGUAGGACAAGUCCAAUCUGCCAAGGCCGUCAAAAUUGUCGCCAAGGCCACACCAGCCACCAGCCAAUUGAUGAACUGUUAAUUCAUGUAGCACAUGCAUCUCAAAAUUCAAAAAAAUGCCAUAGCCCAAACAAUACUUUAAUAAUAUAUGUCAUGUAUAUCAGUAUUGACACCAAAUAAAACUUUCCGAUAUGCAUAACUA